AUGGGUGGUGUAAACCGUAGGGUGUCCAUUGGUGGAGCCACGAUGCAAGCAUCCAAAACAGACAUAUUGUAUACGAAGAAUGUUCAUGCUGCCAAGAGAAGUGAAGACAUUGCCCAUUUGUCCCCUGGGAAUGCCAAGAUAUUCGCCAAACAAAGCCAUAGGAUGGUGCUAUACACAGAGGACAACCUAUCAGGUUACAAUGGUCAUGGAGCUUCUUGGAUUAAACUUGCAAAGAGUAGUACUGGAAAGCUUCAUUUUCGUAAGAUGCUCUGGUAUUUCCGAGUAGAAGAAAGCAAAGCCAACAAGGGUCGUUAG
RNAcentral lists this ribosomal RNA (315 nucleotides) under Triticum aestivum (bread wheat). RNAcentral's name for it is "partial small subunit ribosomal RNA". The record is from RNAcentral. Lineage: Eukaryota; Viridiplantae; Streptophyta; Magnoliopsida; Poales; Poaceae.